GAUGAACGCUGGCGGCGUGCCUAAUACAUGCCAGUCGAGCGAACGGACGAGAAGCUUGCUUCUCUGAUGUCAGCGGCGGACGGGUGAGUAACACGUGGAUAACCUACCUAUAAGACUGGGAUAACUUCGGGAAACCGGAGCUAAUACCGGAUAAUAUUUUGAACCGCAUGGUUCAAAAGUGAAAGACGGUCUUGCUGUCACUUAUAGAUGGAUCCGCGCUGCAUUAGCUAGUUGGUAAGGUAACGGCUUACCAAGGCAACGAUGCAUAGCCGACCUGAGAGGGUGAUCGGCCACACUGGAACUGAGACACGGUCCAGACUCCUACGGGAGGCAGCAGUAGGGAAUCUUCCGCAAUGGGCGAAAGCCUGACGGAGCAACGCCGCGUGAGUGAUGAAGGUCUUCGGAUCGUAAAACUCUGUUAUUAGGGAAGAACAUAUGUGUAAGUAACUGUGCACAUCUUGACGGUACCUAAUCAGAAAGCCACGGCUAACUACGUG
RNAcentral lists this ribosomal RNA (497 nucleotides) under uncultured bacterium. RNAcentral's name for it is "partial 16S ribosomal RNA". It matches the Rfam family "Bacterial small subunit ribosomal RNA", at positions 28 to 507 of the family's 1533-position model. The record is from RNAcentral.